UCCAGCACUAAAUUACUUGGAGGUGGCCA
Molecule: non-coding RNA, 29 nt
Filed under: Rattus norvegicus (Norway rat)
Lineage: Eukaryota; Metazoa; Chordata; Mammalia; Rodentia; Muridae
Source: RNAcentral